RNAcentral lists this ribosomal RNA (516 nucleotides) under uncultured bacterium. RNAcentral's name for it is "partial 16S ribosomal RNA". It matches the Rfam family "Bacterial small subunit ribosomal RNA", at positions 28 to 523 of the family's 1533-position model. The record is from RNAcentral.
GAUGAACGCUGGCGGCAUGCCUAAUACAUGCAAGUCGAGCGGAGUUGAUGGAAAGCUUGCUUUCCUGAUACUUAGCGGCGGACGGGUGAGUAACACGUAGGCAACCUGCCCUCAAGCUUGGGACAACUACCGGAAACGGUAGCUAAUACCGAAUACUUGUUUUCUUCGCCUGAAGAGAACUGGAAAGACGGAGCAAUCUGUCACUUGGGGAUGGGCCUGCGGCGCAUUAGCUAGUUGGUGAGGUAAUGGCUCACCAAGGCGACGAUGCGUAGCCGACCUGAGAGGGUGCUCGGCCACACUGGGACUGAGACACGGCCCAGACUCCUACGGGAGGCAGCAGUAGGGAAUCUUCCGCAAUGGGCGAAAGCCUGACGGAGCAAUGCCGCGUGAGUGAUGAAGGUUUUCGGAUCGUAAAGCUCUGUUGCCAGGGAAGAACGCUUCGGAGAGUAACUGCUCCCAAGGUGACGGUACCUGAGAAGAAAGCCCCGGCUAACUACGUGCCAGCCGCCGCGGUAA